RNAcentral lists this ribosomal RNA (440 nucleotides) under uncultured bacterium. Its description in RNAcentral is "bacterial SSU rRNA". It matches the Rfam family "Bacterial small subunit ribosomal RNA", at positions 355 to 787 of the family's 1533-position model. The record is from RNAcentral.
UAGGGAAUCUUCCGCAAUGGACGAAAGUCUGACGGAGCAACGCCGCGUGUGUGAAGAAGGUUUUCGGAUCGUAAAGCACUGUUGUGAGAGAAGAGCGAUUUAAAGAGGGAAUGCUUUAAAUGAGACGGUAUCUCACCAGAAAGCCACGGCUAACUACGUGCCAGCAGCCGCGGUAAUACGUAGGUGGCAAGCGUUGUCCGGAUUUAUUGGGCGUAAAGGGAGCGCAGGUGGUGCCUUAAGUCUGAUGUGAAAGCCCAUGGCUCAACCAUGGAGGGUCAUUGGAAACUGGGGCACUUGAGUGCAGAAGAGGAAAGCGGAAUUCCAUGUGUAGCGGUGAAAUGCGUAGAUAUUAGGAGGAACACCAGUGGCGAAGGCGGCUUACUGGACGGUAACUGACGUUGAGGCUCGAAAGCGUGGGGAGCAAACAGGAUUAGAUACCC